This 77-nucleotide transfer RNA is filed under the name Clostridia bacterium. RNAcentral describes it as "tRNA-Val". It matches the Rfam family "tRNA". From Rfam's summary of the family: Transfer RNA (tRNA) molecules are approximately 80 nucleotides in length. Their secondary structure includes four short double-helical elements and three loops (D, anti-codon, and T loops). Further hydrogen bonds mediate the characteristic L-shaped molecular structure. tRNAs have two regions of fundamental functional importance: the anti-codon, which is responsible for specific mRNA codon recognition, and the 3' end, to which the tRNAs corresponding amino acid is attached (by aminoacyl-tRNA synthetases). tRNAs cope with the degeneracy of the genetic code in two manners: having more than one tRNA (with a specific anti-codon) for a particular amino acid; and 'wobble' base-pairing, i.e. permitting non-standard base-pairing at the 3rd anti-codon position. Lineage: Bacteria; Bacillati; Bacillota; Clostridia. RNAcentral also lists the same sequence under 1 other name. The record is from RNAcentral.
GGGGAUGUAGCCCAGCUGGUUAGAGCGCCUCGUUCACAUCGAGGAGGUCACAGGUUCGAGCCCUGUUAUCCCCACCA